RNAcentral lists this ribosomal RNA (446 nucleotides) under uncultured Lactobacillus sp. Its description in RNAcentral is "bacterial SSU rRNA". It matches the Rfam family "Bacterial small subunit ribosomal RNA", at positions 56 to 479 of the family's 1533-position model. The record is from RNAcentral. Lineage: Bacteria; Bacillati; Bacillota; Bacilli; Lactobacillales; Lactobacillaceae.
UGCCUUGAAGAUCGGAGUGCUUGCACUCUGUGAAACAAGAUACAGGCUAGCGGCGGACGGGUGAGUAACACGUGGGUAACCUGCCCAAGAGAUCGGGAUAACACCUGGAAACAGAUGCUAAUACCGAAUAACAACAGAUGAUGCCUAUCAACUGUUUAAAAGAUGGUUCUGCUAUCACUCUUGGAUGGACCUGCGGUGCAUUAGCUAGUUGGUAGGGUAACGGCCUACCAAGGCGAUGAUGCAUAGCCGAGUUGAGAGACUGAUCGGCCACAUUGGGACUGAGACACGGCCCAAACUCCUACGGGAGGCAGCAGUAGGGAAUCUUCCACAAUGGACGCAAGUCUGAUGGAGCAACGCCGCGUGAGUGAAGAAGGGUUUCGGCUCGUAAAGCUCUGUUGUUGGUGAAGAAGGACAGGGGUAGUAACUGACCUUUGUUUGACGGUAAU